Magallana angulata is the source of this 2559-nucleotide long non-coding RNA. RefSeq lists it as uncharacterized. The transcript has 2 exons. The record is from RefSeq and is a predicted model, not a curated record. Lineage: Eukaryota; Metazoa; Mollusca; Bivalvia; Ostreida; Ostreidae.
UUAAGGAAAAUUAAAGAUCUUUCGCCCCCCCCUUUCCGGAAUUUUUUUUGGCGCAUGGUGUUAUAAAUGUGACGAUAAAGAAUUUCAACUUGAUUUUAAAUUAGACAUUAUUUGUGUUUAUUUAAAAUCUUUACUUCAGGCCAAUAUAUAUCGAUUUGAGUCCAUCACGGUACCAUGUCGAGCGUAUUUUGUAUUUGUUUGUCACAUUCUCAGCUAGUGUCGAAACACGCGCCAAGUCUAAAAGUCUCCGUAUCUAUCAGCAUGCAUGCAAUGUAAAAAAAGUUUUCUUGUGAACAUCAUAACCAACUUUGAAGAGAACAUGAUGGAAAGCGAAUAUUUUCCUCACUAUGACUGGUAUGUGUGAUGCGCUAUUUUCGUCGAGACAUUUUAUCGAAAAAUUCGGCUGACCCCAGAAUAUGCCGUUGUUUAAAUGGCUUUUUAAGUGGUCUGUUUAUUAAUAUACAUAAAAUGUUUUACGAGAUAGAUCUAAUAGCCCUGCAUGAUUCCAUCCCGGGCAACAUUUUUUUGAACGUAUUCCUCUUUGUGACAAUCCAUAAAUAAUCCUCGACGAAAUGGUGUAUUUUCGAAAGUAAUUGCACAUAAAAUAUCCCACUCUUCCGAUGCGGAUUUCAUAGAAACUAAUCUACAGCCGAAUAAAUCCUUGUCGUUCCAUAAAGAACUGGAAUUGUGGCAAGAUGAGCCUUUCUGGUAUUGCUGUAUUACUGGUCCUCCGAUAAACUCUGUAGAAGAGAUCGAGAGCAUCACAGCAGCUAGAUGGUUUUCUUUGUGGAUGACUCCUUUGAUGCAGCAUUAAUAAGAAUUCAUUUUUUUCAAAUGUUCACGUAAUAGAUCGUAUAAAAACUAUAGGAACUGAUUAAAAAGGGAUAAAUUUUUGGCGUUAUCUCUGAAAGUAAACACCUGGAGACGAUUCAACAUCUUUUUUAUAUCUGUAGCAAUGAUUCGUCUUACAGUAUGGCGAUUCACGCAUGUAAUUCUGUGAAGUUUAUAAUCAUCUGUCAUGUUGUAAAUUUUGAAUUUUCCGGGUGGCAGUAAAUACAAAAUUUACAACAUGACACAUCUCGCAAAUUUUUAAUUCUAACAGUUUACUAAAAAGAAUAAAUCAAGGUCUGCAACAUUAUCUAAUGCCGAAAUGUAGAUUGAUUAUAUACAAUAACUAAACGCAUAAUUAAUAAAGAUUAGAUAUGAUCGAGUUUUUUUGGACAUCGAUGUCGGAACUGAGACGCUGAUAUUUUGUUUCUCUUUGAAAUGCCUUGCCUCCCUACAGUGAGAUGACCGAUACAAAAUCUUAAACGUGAACUCCAACAUACUAUCCCAUGGCGUGCGUGUAAAGCUCUUGUAAACCGUACCGUACCAUUGGCCCUGUCAAAUCGAUCAUGGAGGAAGGGUGAAAUUCACUUACAGUACUCCAAAAGAUGGGAAUAAAGAUUUCUUUAACGUCGAUAAUUCCUCAAACAAAGUUGACGAUAUAAAUAGAAAACCGUCUAAUUCUGACGAUUUUAAGUUUUCAAACAUUCCAGCGAUCCUGUGUUUGUGUGUUUGGAGCCACAUCGCUUGCUGCAUGAUUGCAAACCUCGGUCUAUUAAAAAGAGGUCGCCCGAUGGAUCACUUAAUGCUAAAAGGGGGAGUGCAGAAACUGUUAAUGGGCUAGUAUUCACAGGGUCUUCAGAGUCACGUUCGAUUUGCUGUACUUGUUGGAUAUUGCUGGUCAGGUGACGUCCAACAAGCGCUUUGUUCGCCGUUGUGUAACUCGGCAGGGUGAGAACUCAGGCGCUGGUUGGCGUGGUCGGACGAUGAAUUGGCAUCGCAAUUAAUUAGAGGGAAACGCGCUGAAUCGAUUAGAGAGAUAAUUGCUGAUAGACCGUACGCAGAUCUUCCCACAGGUUAAUAGGAAACGGAAGGCUGCUCUUUUACGCCAGACCAAAUCUCGAACGAAUUUCCUUAAGAUGAGGAAAUCGAAUCCAUAUUUACCAUAGAAAAAGCCAACAAGUGGCCACAGCAUGUUAGCGCUGAAUGCGAGCGAGAGUGGCUUAGCGGAGCCAUGUACCGUUACUGUGACCUCAUCCGAGUCUAGCACGGUAGCAGAGGACUUUCAAAAAACCGACAAAGAGGCUCUGUUUUAUAUAAUAACUGUGCUGAUGUUUUACGCUGUAAGCAUUGUCACCCUAAUGGUCAAAUAUUUACGGCAAGAGAAACAAGAAGCGGAGUACACCAAUUACUAUUAUGAGUAUGUGUCACGUGACAAGUUCCAGGACCCUCUCUACCAAAAUUCCCUGAACGUGCAGCGAACGCUGAGCGCCGUGCGCGACAGUUAUAACAAAGUCGUUCCAACAGACUGCAUACCUCACACAAAGCAAGCUUUCUCGGAGACCAGCGUCUAGCUAUAUAGUUAUAUCAAAACCGAACUCCUGGAAAACUUUUGCACCGUUGGGAGUAGGUAGUUCGAUCUGUCCUGAAGUUCUUCUUUCUUUAUGAUGAGAUUUUAUACCACACUGUUUACAUCUGUCACAGAAACUUAGACUAAAUAAAACAUUCAGUGUU